AAGAUACUACAUUGCGUAUUCUUCGAAGAGUUUUCUCAAAUGCAGUGGCUCAGAAUUGUUCCUGGUUGGGCCUACGUGAUAAUUUUUCAGUCCAAAAUUUGGCUAUAAUAAAGAUCACCAAAGAUGCAGUAAUGGUGAAUUAUAACAUGACGGACAAAGAAUUUGAAGAAACUUGCAGUGAGUGGUUCCGUCAAGGAAAACAAAGAUUUAUCAGAGAAGAGAAGGCGAAGGCCAAAGCACGAGCAUAGAGGAAGCACGAGCAAUCGCACAAGUUCAUACUGUAAAUUAACCACAGUUCAACGAAUUGGAGUCAAUCUUAUAUUUAAUUUCAAUUUAUUCUUGUUUUACAACUUACAUCUGUACUGGCUCAAGUUAAUUCAUGAUACUCACCUACAAACUGCAAUUCAUAUAGAUUUUUAAGUUCAUUUGAUAGCUUUCAUACCUUCAUAUAUCUUAAUCUUAAAUAGUUUGAAGCUAAUUUCAUACCUCGAAUGUUUACGGUGCAGUAGUUUCACAUCAAAACCACAAUUGUAUCAUGUUUACCAUGUACUUUGUGGUUUUGUAGUAAAACUCCAUACUAACAGUAUAAAUAUUGUCCCACUUUCCGGUGAUGUGAGCAACAUAUUCGACAUGGAGUUGGAUAGAAAAAUUAUAAACAAACUACACGGAAAAAUGAUAUAACGGUAGUUACCUUGCGAAGCCACUAUAUAUAGCCUAUACGUUCAUUUUGAAUUUACGUAUUUUUGAAAGGAUUCCAAUUCUUGUUUUAUCGCGAAAUAUAAUACCAUAUAAUACAGCCACAAGUUACAUUACAGGCACAUCAGUGUUGACUUGAUUCCACAUAGGUUAUCUAUGUACCUAAGUAAUUUUUUGUUUAGUUCCGUAUACGUUUCAUAACGUAAAAGUCAGAUACUGGUUGUAGUAUUACUCUUUUUAAAUGUUCAUUAUCAUAUGAUAUGUAAAGUACAAAAUACCCUGGUGGGAAUUUCUACGAAUUUCUAGGGAAAUUGGAACAGUUUUCAUUGAAAAUUAUUGUUUUUUUUUUUUUUGUAGUUUAUCAACAAAUUGUAGAUCCCGUGGUUCAUUUGAAAAAUUGUAGAUUUUUGUAGUGAUUCAGAAAACCUCGUUUUUGUCAAUCAAAUUGGAAAGAACUAUAAUUUUUUUUAUAAAAACCUAAACUUUAAUUUUCCUUGAAAUUCGGACUGAUUAAAUUUUCAGUUACGUUCUUAUGGCAAUUUUUUUAUUUACUUUUUCCUAUGGGCCGUUCGAGUCCUCAGCGCUUAUUAUAGAUUGUGAUUGAUAUCUACUAUAGUACCUAAAUAUUGUUACUUAUGUGAUACUACGGGUGAAAUUGUGAGGUUCUUAUGAUCUCCAAGAACCAUGUUAAGUAGUGUGUACUUAUUUCUCGCUGUAACACGUUGAAUUUUGAUAUUCUAUUACCUGUAUUAUAUUAAGCAAAAUACGUAUAACGGUAUUGUAUACCCGUUUCCCUAUUGUCACUUGUAUGACACUACAUCUUGAUUUUCUAGAUUCUAGUACCUUUGUUAUUUUGUUAUAUUACUCAUUUCUAGCUGGUUACUUUUAUGACACAUGGUAUUUCGAUAUUCUGGGUGGUAAUAAAUAAUCUUUUCCAUAUA
Molecule: long non-coding RNA, 1637 nt
Organism: Neodiprion fabricii
Lineage: Eukaryota; Metazoa; Arthropoda; Insecta; Hymenoptera; Diprionidae
Exons: 2
Source: RefSeq, a predicted model, not a curated record